CCUACGGGUGACAGCAGUGAGGAAUAUUGGUCAAUGGCCGCGAGCCUGAACCAGCCAAGUAGCGUGAAGGAUGAAUGCCCUACGGGUUGUAAACUUCUUUUAUAGGGGAAUAAAGUUAGGCACGUGUGCCUUUUUGCAUGUACUUUAUGAAUAAGGAUCGGCUAACUCCGUGCCAGCAGCCGCGGUAAUACGGAGGAUCCGAGCGUUAUCCGGAUUUAUUGGGUUUAAAGGGUGCGUAGAUGGGUUGUUAAGUCAGUUGUGAAAGUUUGUGGCUCAACCGUAAAAUUGCAAUUGAUACUGGCAGACUUGAGUAUAGUUGAGGUAGGCGGAAUGCGUGGUGUAGCGGUGAAAUGCAUAGAUAUCACGAAGAACUCCGAUUGCGAAGGCAGCUUACUAAACUGCAACUGACAUUGAUGCUCGAAAGUGUGGGUAUCAAACAGGAUUAGAUACCCGGGUAGUC
RNAcentral lists this ribosomal RNA (460 nucleotides) under uncultured bacterium. RNAcentral describes it as "partial 16S ribosomal RNA". It matches the Rfam family "Bacterial small subunit ribosomal RNA", at positions 338 to 795 of the family's 1533-position model. The record is from RNAcentral.